GUCCUAGGCUUCGUCUGCUCCGCCUGGCACGGCGAACUCGCGGUCCGCCACGUGCGCUGGAUUGUUACAGACCUAUUGCUACUACAGCUAUCUAGAAGAAGAGAGAAAGAUGCGAGGUAGAAGAAAGAGAGACGGGUAUGAUGUUCUUCUGUUAUUUCUUAAUCUCCUCUGUUACAGCCAAGCAUGCUUUAUAUUUGCUAUUAAUUGCUGUUACCAAUCAUGGGCCUCUAACUGGACCAGACAUCUUCAGGAUACCGCCAGGGCCGGGCCAGCAUAAUUCAAGGCCCUGUACCGAUUUUUUCUUUUUUUUCUUUGUUAAGAAUAGAGGGUAUAGAUUAAUCUCAUUUAUUAACCGUGAUUGAAUUAUUAAUGUGGGAAAUCGUUUAAUAACGGUAACGAAUGAUCUUAACGUUUGGAUGUUAUGCCAGCAUGUGCUAGCUGCACUUCGCCAUAUAGCUAAAAUGAGUUGCAUAACAGAUUGGUACUCGGUUGUUACGACAAACACUAUAUUUUAUUCUUAUCGAGCUGACUUAGCUAGACUUUCUAAUCAUUACUAAAAUUUGUAUUGAUUAAACUAUCGCUAACUAUUAUUUUAGGGGCCCUUAGAGGGAGGGGGCCCUGUUCUUGUGCACCGGUGGCACAUGCCCCCCGCCCGGGCCUGGAUACAGCGUAUUGGGUUUACGUACACGCCGACCCAAUUCCGCAGCCUGCUUUCCCUUCUGAGCCUCACCUUCUUUGGUCUGAAUACUGACAUUUCCCCUGUCUUGAUUUGCCGCUUGACCCCAAGCGGCUGCACGUGGAAAACGUCGGCGAAUGUCGAACUCAUCUUCCCAAGUGUCAAGAGCAGCAUCACAUCCAGACCAUCGAACCAGCACUUGAGGUACUUGAGUCCCUCCACGAGUAAUGACACGGUGUUGGAUAAUCUGCACUGGAACACGCAGUGUGUCCGGAAUAACUGGAAGAGACUUACUCACCAAACAGCUGGGAUGUAGAGAUGGCUUUAACUGGGAUACGUGAAAUACAGGAUGAACUGAAGCUGAUUCAGGAAGCUUUAGCUUGUAGGCAACCUUCCCAACUCGCUGCAGGAUUUCAAAUGGCCCAAAGUAUUUAUAAGCAAGCUUAUGGUUAGCACGAACAGCCACUGACGACUGGACAUAAGGUUGCAGCCUCAGAUAGACCAUGUCUCCAACUUGAUAUUCACAAUCUGAUCGACGCUUGUCAGCCUGAUUCUUCAUUCUCUGUUGUGCUCGAAGGAGAUGAUGCCGGACAGACCUUAUCAUGAGUUCACGUUGAGAAAGCCAGAGAUUAAGGUAGGCAUGAUUCACUGAGUCAUCAACAGACAAACCAAAAUGGCGAGGAGAGUGACCAUACAACACCUCAAAAGGAGACCGACCCAAAGAAGUGUGGAAACAACAAUUAUACCAAUACUCAACCGUUGGAAGCCAAGAAGACCACUUGGAUGGGCACGACUGUACAAAACAGCGCAAGUACGUCUCCACACAUUGGUUUACACGUUCCGUUUGUCCAUUGGUUUGUGGGUGGUAGGAGGAGCUCAUAUGAAGUUGAGUCCCUGACAACCUGAACAACUCCUUCCAUAAUGAACUUGUGAAGAUGCGGUCUCGGUCAGAUACAAUAGAAUCAGGCAUGCCAUGGAGACGAUAAACUGCUGUCAUGAAAACCUUAGCAACUGUCAGUGCUGUAAAGGGAUGACGCAUGGCCACAAAAUGAGCAUAUUUGGACAGCCUGUCCACAAUCACCAAGAUGGUAUUAUAGUUCCCUGACCUUGGCAAUCCCUCAAUAAAGUCUAAGGAAAUUGCCUGCCAAGCUUGUUGUGGCACAGGAAGGGGCUGCAGAAGUCCAGGAUACCGAGAACGGUCGGGCUUAGCCUGAUGACAAACAAUACAUGCAGCUACAAAAUCCUUAAUGGUUUUCUUCAUACGAGGCCAACUGAAAAGUUGCUUGAUGCGUCGAUAUGUCACAGGAAACUCGGAAUGACCACCCAAGGCACUUGAAUGUAAAGCACUGAUCACCUUGGUCUGCAACUGAGAAUUGUUCCCUAGCCAGACACGAUUCUUGAACCGAAUAACUCCAUUAUGCAGACUGUAAGGAGGCUGAGAUCCUGCUGACAACGCAGCCAGCAAUUUUAGAGCUUCAGAGUCUGUUGCAUAACCGGCCACCACAUCCUGUAACCAGGCUGGUGAAACCAUAGUAAGAGCAAGACAAGCGGAAUCCGUGUGGUGGGGGCGACGAGACAAUGCAUCUGCAGCAGCGUUAUCCACUCCCUUCUUAUAGACAAUGCGAUAUUGCAGCCCCAGUAACUUGGUAAACACUUUCUGUUGCCAGGGUGUGUGAAGACGCUGCUCGUUCAAAUGAGACAAACUGCGAUGAUCAGUGAGAAUAAGGAACUCGGCAUGUUGCAAAUAAGAUCCCCACUGGUCUACAGCAAGAAGAACGGCCAAGUAUUCUUUUUCAUAUGCUGACAGACCCAAAUGUGCCGGCCCCAAGGCUUUACUGACAAAUGCUAAGGGAUGGCCAUCCUGUUGAAGCACUGCACCAAUACCACUUCCCGACGCAUCAGUCUCAAUGGCAAAUGGUCUAUGAAAGUUGGGCAAAGCCAAAAAUGGUGCCGAGGAUAGAGCCUGUUUGAUAGCUUGAAAGGCAGAAUCUUGCACAUUGGUCCACACAAACACCACAUGUUUCUUAAGCAAAUUGGUCAGUGGCUUAGCCAAGAUGCCAAAAUUCUUAACAAAUUUCCUAUAGUAGCCGGCAAGACCCAAGAAUCCCCUCAGCUCUUUGCAUGUAGUAGGAAUAGGCCAAGAAGAGACCGCAGAAACUUUAGAUGGAUCAGUAGCCACUCCAGCUUGGCUAAUAAUAUGACCCAAAUAAGAGAUCUCUUGGCGACCAAAAGAACACUUCGACAAUUUUACUUGCCAACAAUCUUUGACCAGCAACUGUAACACUGAUUCUAUAUGAAGCAAGUGAUCCUCCCAAGUGGGGCUAUAUACCAGAAUAUCAUCGAAGAAGACCAAGACACAUUUUCUGAGAAGGGAUGAUAGGGUCUUGUUCAUGGCACCCUGGAACGUAGCAGGUGCUCCAGUAAGUCCAAAAGACAUAACUCGAAACUCAUAGUGACCAUUAUGUGUUUGAAAGGCUGUCUUGUGCUGGUCUUGGGGGGCCAUUCUUAUUUGAUGGAAUCCAGCUCGAAGAUCCAACGUGGAAAACCAAGCAGCACCAUGUAACUCGUCAAGGAACUCAUCGACCACAGGUAUAGGGAACCGAGUCUUAACAGUAAUAGCAUUCAGAUGUCGGUAAUCCACACAAAAACGAUAUGUAUCAUCUUUCUUUUUGACCAAUAUGACUGAAGAAGAGAAUUCGCUUUGACUAGGUUGAAUAAUCCCAGCAGCCAACAUCUCAGCUACUUGUUUUUCAACUUCAGUCUUGAGUGCUGGUGCAUACCUAUAAGGUCUCAUAUGGAAAGAUUGAACACCAGGUAACAGGUGGAUAUGAUGAUCACAUUCUCUGGGAGGUGGCAACCCUUUAGGCACUGCAAAGACAGACUGAUACUGAGACAGCAAAGACUGAAGAUCAGCUGGUAAUGUAGAAAGAAUAGUUUGAUCCUUUUCCUGCAACUCAGUGAUAUGGCACAUUUCAAUUACUGAAUAUUGUUCUCUGGAUGAUUGCAACCCAAACAAUUGUCUUGCAGAGCCUUUAUAAGAAAUGAUCAGAGACUUAUCUGCCCAAUGGACCCACAUAGGGUUGUACUGUUCAAGCCAGUCCAUACCAACAAUCAAGUCAUAAGUCUGGAGUGGUAAUACACGCAAUGUAGUUUGAAACUCACAACCACCGAGGGACCAAGUAGUUUGUACCAUUUCAUGAGUGCACUGGAGCCUAGAACCAUUUGCCACCUGAACCGACAAUACUUGGGGCAAGAGAGUGAGGCCCUGCAGCUGAUCAGCCACCUGAGAGCUGACAAAGGAGUGGGAACUUCCAGAAUCCAGCAAUACCAAAAGAUCCACACCCUGAAUACUGCCCAAGAACUGCAUUGUCUUAGGAUUAUGUGCCUUUUCUACUGCUGCCUGAGAUAGACUCAUAACAUGGAGUUCUCCUGAAACCUCAGACCGACAGUCAUCUUCUUGUUCAGGGACUUGCAAAAAUUGGCACAACUCUUCAACAACAUGCAAUUGUAUUGUUUCAGCACAGCGAUGUCCUUUGGAAUAUUGCAUACCACACUUGUAGCAUAGGCCUUUGGCUUUACGAUAAGCAAAUAAGGAAGCAACCUUAUCCUCAGCAUACACCCCUUUGGUCACUUGCCCAGACAACUGCUCAGUCUGUCGAGGAGAAGAAGCUGAAUGUGGAGGUAACGGCAACGGCAAGGGAUUCUUGCUCAAUGUCUUGGAAGGAAACGACGCCUCAUAUCUUCUGGAAUCCUUUCUCUGGCCAGCAGCCUCCUCCUGCAAUUGAGCGAGAACAAAAGCAGUAUCCAAAUCUCGAGGGCGCUGCACCAUAACCACAGAACGAAUAUCUUCGCGAAGGCCAUCAACGAAACACAUGAUAUGGUAGAGAGGAUCCGAAUUUGGACAAUAAGCGCGCAACUGAUCUAUGAGCUGUGAAAAUCGUUCCACAUAAUCAGCGACACUGGAAGUUUGCCUAAUAUGGAAUAACUGUCUAACUAGAACAGCAUGUUGAUCCUUGCCGAACCGGUCCCUAACCAAGUGGCAAAAGUCCAACCAAGAAAUAUGAGCCAGCUGCACUUCAACAGAUUGGAGCCAACGAGCAGCGGCACCCGUGAAGUACAUCGUGGAUACCUUGAUCCACACAGUAGGAUCUACCGAAUACAUGGCAAAAUAAUCUUCCAAACGUUUCUGCCAAAGCUUGGGACUAUCGCCAUCAAAACCAGGGAAAUUCAUCUUAGGCAGUUGCCCCAAAUAGUGAGAGGACUGGUCCUGGAAUCUACCCGCAAUACUAUCGGGAGGAACCAUCGGAUGAAAAGAAUUGGAGCCAGGAAUCGUACCAUUGUGCGGGAGUAGGCCUUGGGUAUAUCCCAACCCAUAGCCUUCCUCCCGACGAUGAUGAACAUCACGGUGCCCAUGAGGGCCAUCGAUGUGUGGCGAGGUAGCAGGUGGGCGCCCGAGAACACCAGCGUGGGAAGGUGACACGCGAUGAUCACUGUCGAACCGGCUGGACAUGCGUGACACAUCAACUCGGAGUGCGUCCGCAGCUGACUGGGCCGUGACCACCGAGUGCUCGACGAAAGGCCUCCAUGACUCAAGCACUGCGACACGCUUGGAAAGCGCGCCAUCCACCUCGUCGAUUCGUUCCAAUGUUCUGGACUGGAACUCGGCUGCCUUCGUGUCGAACUGCAUCGACAACGACUUGGACAACUCUGCAUGGGCAACAUCCUUCUCCUGAAGCUGCCUGGUCAGGAUGCUGAUGGAUGUAGAAUUGCGAGCGACUGAGCGUUCGAGCGCUUCCCAGUGACGAUCCUGGGCAUCCAGACGGUCGCAGAUUUGUUGCAGCAACUGGGCUUGUGUCGCCAUGGUCUUUGCCUGAGCAUCCAACGCAUCUGCUACGACCGAAUCGGCCACACCCGUCAUCAGAACUCGUGGCGCAGAGACUCCCCGCAGGAUCAACAAAGUCUGAUACCAAUUGUUACAGACCUAUUGCUACUACAGCUAUCUAGAAGAAGAGAGAAAGAUGCGAGGUAGAAGAAAGAGAGACGGGUAUGAUGUUCUUCUGUUAUUUCUUAAUCUCCUCUGUUACAGCCAAGCAUGCUUUAUAUUUGCUAUUAAUUGCUGUUACCAAUCAUGGGCCUCUAACUGGACCAGACAUCUUCAGGAUACCGCGUAUUGGGUUUACGUACACGCCGGCCCAAUUCCGCAGCCUGCUUUCCCUUCUGAGCCUCACCUUCUUUGGUCUGAAUACUGACAUGGCGGUAGCGCCGGGCAGCAGUGGUGUUGAUCGUGGCGG
RNAcentral lists this long non-coding RNA (5967 nucleotides) under Zea mays. RNAcentral describes it as "long non-coding RNA (ZMAY_LNC004543)". The record is from RNAcentral. Lineage: Eukaryota; Viridiplantae; Streptophyta; Magnoliopsida; Poales; Poaceae.